RNAcentral lists this ribosomal RNA (476 nucleotides) under uncultured bacterium. RNAcentral describes it as "bacterial SSU rRNA". It matches the Rfam family "Bacterial small subunit ribosomal RNA", at positions 28 to 523 of the family's 1533-position model. The record is from RNAcentral.
GACGAACGCUGGCGGCGUGCUUAACACAUGCAAGUCGAGCGGAAAGGCCCUUCGGGGUACUCGAGCGGCGAACGGGUGAGUAACACGUGAGUAACCUGCCCUGGACUUUGGGAUAACCCUCGGAAACGGGGGCUAAUACCGAAUACGACUUUUCCUCGCAUGAGGUUUGGUGGAAAGUUUUUCGGUCUGGGAUGGCUCGCGGCCUAUCAGCUUGUUGGUGGGGUGAUGGCCUACCAAGGCGACGACGGGUAGCGGUCUGAGAGGACGAUCAGCCGGAUUGGGACUGAGAUACGGCCCAGACUCCUACGGGGGGCAGCAAUUAGGAAUCUUGCACAAUGGGGGCAACCCUGAUGCAGCGACGUCGCGUGGAGGAUUGAAAUCUUUCGGGAUGUAAACUCCUUUUCUCAAGGGAAAGAAAAAAUAGACGGUACCUGAGGAAUAAGCCCCGGCUAACUACGUGCCAGCAGCCGCGGUAA